RNAcentral lists this ribosomal RNA (228 nucleotides) under Peronia persiae. RNAcentral describes it as "partial large subunit ribosomal RNA". The record is from RNAcentral. Lineage: Eukaryota; Metazoa; Mollusca; Gastropoda; Systellommatophora; Onchidiidae.
AUUUUGAAGUUUCUUUGAGGGUGCAAAGUCCCUUGAUUAGAAAAAAGACGAGAAGACCCUUAGAGUUUUUAUUAAAGAUAAGAAUUUAUUCAAGUUUUUGCUGGGGCGGCAAAGAGACAGAUGAUUAAACUCUCUUUUUAUUAUUUUUAGAAGACGAAAAUGUUAAGAAUCGUUAAACUACCUUAGGGAUAACAGCAUAAUUAAGUUUUAGUUUGUGACCUCGAUGUU